CCUACGGGGGGCAGCAGUGGGGAAUAUUGCGCAAUGGGCGAAAGCCUGACGCAGCGACGCCGCGUGAGGGAUGAAGGUCUUCGGAUCGUAAACCUCUGUCAGCAGGGAAGAACGGUCACUGUGCUAAUCAGCAGUGAAUUGACGGUACCUGCAAAGGAAGCACCGGCUAACUCCGUGCCAGCAGCCGCGGUAAUACGGAGGGUGCGAGCGUUAAUCGGAAUUACUGGGCGUAAAGCGCUCGUAGGCGGUAUGUCAAGUCAAGGGUGAAAUCCCCGCGCUCAACGUGGGAACUGCCGUUGAAACUGGCAAACUGGAGUGUGUGAGAGGAUAGUGGAAUUCCAGGUGUAGGAGUGAAAGCCGUAGAUAUCUGGAGGAACAUCAGUGGCGAAGGCGACUAUCUGGCACAUAACUGACGCUGAGGAGCGAAAGCGUGGGUAGCAAACAGGAUUAGAUACCCCAGUAGUC
RNAcentral lists this ribosomal RNA (465 nucleotides) under uncultured bacterium. RNAcentral describes it as "partial 16S ribosomal RNA". It matches the Rfam family "Bacterial small subunit ribosomal RNA", at positions 338 to 795 of the family's 1533-position model. The record is from RNAcentral.